AUGACGGAAUUCAACUUUAUUGAAAAAAAGCUAAUAAUCUUCUUACAUAAUCUUUGUAGAAAAUCAACAUAUAAAAUUAAUAACAUGUAUAUUAACAAUUUAUUUUUUGGGCAAAUCACAAAAACACUAAACCAUUAUGUGUACAAAGUUUUUGGUUUUUGCAGAAGAAUUCAAGAAGAAGGAAGAACAGAUUGA
Non-coding RNA from Vicia faba (fava bean), 195 nucleotides. The record is from the annotation of a GenBank genome assembly. NCBI's taxonomy places the organism in Eukaryota, Viridiplantae, Streptophyta, Magnoliopsida, Fabales, Fabaceae.